ACCCACACAGGUGUAGUGGCUCCUUCUUCCAGGUGUAUAAAGGAUGAUGUCAUGGGAUGUUUGUUGAUGAGGGCGCGGCAGCGUAGCCUAGUGGUUAGAGCAUUGGACUAGUAACCGAAAUGUUGCAAGUUCAAAUCCCCGAGCUGACAAGGUACAAAAUCUGUCGUUCUGCCCCUGAACAGGCAGUUAACCCACUGUUCCUUGGCCGUCAUUGAAAAUAAGAAUUUGUUCUUAACUGACUUGCCUAGUAAAAUAAAAAAAAUAUUGAUAUUAUAAUUGCCUACAAAUGUUAUCAGUGUCUCAAAACUCUCUUUGAUUGGGCCUCAAUGUGUUUUUAAAAUCUGUUAUUUGUGACAUUGAAACGUUCUGUCUGUCUGUGUAUCAGGAGAGAAGCCGUUCCAGUGUUCUGAGUGUGGGAAAGGUUUCACUGCGCAGGGUUACCUUAAGAUCCACCAGCGCAUCCACACAGGGGAGAAACCGUACCAGUGCUCCCAGUGUCAGAAAAGCUUCUCCCGGCUGGCCCACUAUAAAGACCACCAGCAGACUCACCGGGAGGAGAAACCGUACCACUGCAAUGACUGUGGGAAAAGCUUCUCCUACUUCAAGUCGCUCAAGUGCCACCAGAUGAUCCACAAAGGGGAGAACCUCCACCACUGCUCCGUAUGCGGUAAAGGGUUCGCCAUCCGCGGCAACCUGAAGACCCAUCUGCAGACACACACCAAGGAGAAACCACACCAAUGCUCAGAGUGCGGGAAACGGUUCUCCCGAGCCCACGACCUGAAGAAACACAAGCUGCUCCACA
Molecule: long non-coding RNA, 802 nt
Organism: Oncorhynchus keta (chum salmon)
Lineage: Eukaryota; Metazoa; Chordata; Actinopteri; Salmoniformes; Salmonidae
Exons: 3
Source: RefSeq, a predicted model, not a curated record